GCAAUACAGACACAGCGCCAAGUCCUACACUUCGUUUUCCUGCUUACUGCUGGCAAGCAGCCUUGAUGGAUGCAAUUACACUGUUUGUCUGGUUUGUUCUUUUUGAUUACAUCAGGGGAAGACUCUGUUUCAGUAUUACAAAUUAUAUCCACCAACCACUCAGCGUCUGCAAUGUGUGGAUGUGCUUGUUCUCCUGCUAUCCUCUUGGGGUUAAUUGAAUAUCACAUUUCAAAGCCACUUUGAUGGAUUUACCGAAGUGCAAUACAAUAAAACUAUCACAAUGUUUUUCCACGCAAUGAAGCAAAUGCAGUUCAGACUCAGAGAGGAGAAGGGUGAAGGAAAUAGGUUCUGGAUGCAAUCGUGGUGCCUUGGAGGUUGAGCCAUGGAACACAGAUCUUUCUGCUUGGCAGCUGAGCUUCCAUGCUCUACUUCAAAUGAAAGCAAAGAACAGCUUCAAAGACUGCAUCCACAGCAAAGUUUCCCCAGCAUCAAAGGUGUAGACAGGCCCUUACCAAGAUGCACAUCAGUCUUGACAUCCAGACUGCAGUGAGGCUUUCCUGGGAUCUAAUCAGGAUAUGCAUGAAAGAAAGAAAUGAAGCAGAAGUCUUGCCAGGAUUUAGAUGCUGGAUUUGGGGGUUUACAGUUCCUGUAGGAAACUCACGAUGGAAGUAAAUAUUAUAGGAUACCCUUGGUGAUAUCUUUCAGUAUCUAAAGGGGAGCUACAAGAAAUAAGGGGUCUUUAGCAGGGUCUGUGUUGAUAGGACAAAGGAGAACGGUUUCAAACUUAAAGAGGGGAUAUUUAGGUUGGAUAUAAGGAAAAAGUCUUUUACAGUGAGAGUGGUGAGGCACUGGCACAGGUAUCCCAGAGAUGUGGUUGAUUCCCUGUCCCUGGACAGUUUCAAGGCAAGGCUGGAUUGUAGAAUCAUAGAAUCAUAGAAUGGUCUGGGUUGAAAAGGACAACAAUGCUCAUCUAGUUUCAACCCCCUGCUAUGUGCAGGGUCACCAACCACUAGAACCACUGGAUCAGGCCCUGGGCAACAUGAUCAAGCUUUGGUGUCCCUGUGCAUUGCAGGUGAGUUGGACUAGGUGACCUUUAAAAAUCCCUUCCAACUUUAAGGAAUCUAUAAUUCUGUGACUCUAUGAUAUUUCACUGAAUAUAUUUAUUUUAUAUGCUCAAACUAUAUGUCAAGCCUGCUCCCAAGUUCAGGUAUGAGCUCUGAUGAGGUGGUUAAAGGAUGGUCCGUGCUAUAGUAGCUCCUUAUCCAGGCUGUGAACUCCUUGCUUCUGGUUUAAAGAAGAGGUGUGAUGCAGCUGAGAGGAGACUGAGAAGCUGCUAUUAAUAAUUUCUUGGCUGCUGACUCUCUUGCUUUCUUAUCACGUGGGUAUCUGAAUGGAUCCUCAGGAUAAGUAAAGCUGUCUGAAAGACAGUGUAUGCCUUCUCCUUUGCAGUAAUAAUUUGACAGUUUAUAUGAGGGUCCCAUGAUCAUCUCCUUUCAUAUUUUCCGAGACCCAAUAGGGCAAGUUAGCCUGCAACGAUGUGGAGAAGGAUGAGUGAAAUGGAUCGGUGAAUUUCACCCAUACACUCUAUGUAUGUUAGCUCUCAUCUUUAUCUUGAGAAUAGUAGCACAGGAAUAUCUCCAAAAGUGACAAAAAACAUCACCUAGGAUAUGUUGGUUACCAUCACAAGCUGAGAAUGGGAGAAAUGAAGCAGUGAUCUAAGAGGGAAUGGGGGUAAAAGCAUCAAUACGGUGAUGUGCACAGCCUAUGUCCAGGUGGACCACCACCCUUAGCAGUGUUUGCCACAUGGCAACAAAAAGGGCACAGGGCCACAUGUUGACUCUGUUGUAAUCAAUUGCAUGUGCAAUAGGUGGGACAUUAUUUUCUUUUCCAUUACUGCAAGCAUAGCCACAGAUCUGAUAUGCAGGGCGUCAACUCAUUUCCUGUAGUGUUUUUUUAAAGUGGUCCCAUAGAAGACCUGGUCUGGUGGUUGGCAACCCUGCACAUAGCAGGGGGGUUGAAACUAGAUGAGCAUUAUGGUCCUUUUCAACCCAGGCCAUUCUAUUAUUCUAUGAAAACAUGGUAGUCAUGUACCUUACAUACUCAAUAUGAUAUUCAGGGAUACGUGUCCAGCCCAUUAUACCCCAGUGGAUUUAAUUAGAAACAGUGGAAGGGAAAAUAGGGUUUUUUUUUGACUGCAUGAGGAGCAAAAAGCAGCUGACAAUCUUAACUAUACUUGCUCUGCAAGUCUGGUAAGAGCAAAAGCCAGUGGCUCUGAGUGGGUACACAAAUAGGCAUGAAGGUUAAGAGAAUGCCUUUUCCUAUUUACAUUAAGGAACAAAAAUAGCUGCCUCUGAAUCAUCAUUACAAUGCAAUGAUAGCUUCAAAUGCAAGCAAGGGGAUACUGCAUCUCCAGGAUGUUAGAUAUGCAGGAAGAGCAGGCUAUACAGGAAUUCAUGCUUAAUGUGAAGGCAGUGAGAUGGACAUUACCACGGUAUGAGAUCUCCGCAUCUUCCACUUUCCUGAUUCUGGACAGUAAUCAGGAAUAUAUGAUUUUAAAGGAUGUUCAUCAGGUACAUUUGUAAUCAGUGACUAAUUGUAAGUAUCCUCAUAGUUAUGUACAGCAGAAGUAUGAUGUUUCCAGGUAAAGCUUAGUGGCUCUGGGCAGCUUGGUCUGGUGGUUGGCAACCCUGCACAUAACAGGGGGUUGAAACCAGAUGAUCACUGUGGUCCUUUUCAACCCAGGCCAUUCUAUGAUUAUGUGAUUCUGUGAUUCUAUGAUUCUAUGAUUCUAUGAUAUCCACAAGAACAUGAAACAAAAUUGAUUUAAGUGAGGCCAUUAGAGACAACAGAAGUGGGGAAGUUAAAGGCUUUUACUUUGUUUUCCAGUUCUUUUUGGUGCGUUAUUCUUCAACCAUAAAGUAUAAUAGGGAAAUUCCUGCUCUUGGGGAAUUUUUAUAGAGAAAUCUGAAUCUUGAAAGACAAUCCAAGUUUAAAAAAAAAAAAAAAAAAGGAGGAAAAAGAAAAAGAAUUAUAGAGAAACUUGAGAAGUUCAAGUGCAGUAAAUCAAUAGGAGCUGAUGGUCUUCACCCAUGGACAUGGAAGGGAAUGAAGUGUGAAACAGCAGAUCUGAGUUUAUGCAAUCAAGGACCAUUCCAAGAGCCACUACAAUCAGUGGAAAGACUCUCUGAAAACUGGAUCAGGCCUUCCCACAUUAAUUCAGAAAAAACAAUGAGUACCCACAGGAAGGCACCCAUCACCCUUUCAGGUUGGAUGUGGGAAAUGCAGUGGGGUGAGGAGGGCUGCACCGGUAGGACCAGCCAGAUCAGGAGCAACCCAUGCUGUAUGGAAAACUCUCUGUAAUUACAGUGCUCCAUCUUGGCCGGUGCAGUGCAGCUCUGUAGGAUUUGGCCCCAUAGUACUGGAAAUGGCAUGCGACACGACUGACAUGAAGCCAGGUCCUGCCACCCACAUGGCAGGGGGAAUGCUCUCAGGAUCUGGCCCAUCGCAGUGGCACUGCUGUGUUUACAUGGCUGCAGGCUCUUGCUCCGCUCAGCUCACUGGCUUGCUAGAUUCUCUACAUCUGAAAGCUGCUCUUUCUUCCCCAAAAUCACUGCUGGCAAUCAUUUGUCACUGCUAAGGACAACAUCUCCCGCUGCUUGGCGAUAGGGCUUCUGCAUAGAUGAUGCCUUAUGGACAACUUCAAGUUUCCAAAGCAGCAUGAGCGCAGAGCACGGGCCAGGCUUCCCUUUUCAGUCACUGAGAAGCAAACACUCACAGCUGCCAAGGAUUUUACUUUAUUGUCAUUUAAGUUGGCUCUUUCUGCUCCAGUCGCUGGCGGUCUCACAGUAGCAGGAGUUGAGUAAUAAUAGUAUUUCCAGUCCGCUCACCUCCAAGUAGUGCUUUACAGGAGAGACUGCUGGGAGAACAGGAUGAGGAUGGUUUGUAUUGGCUGUUCCUUCCCUCUUUCUCAUCAGACUGUGAUUCAAGCUAACAUCAAGCUACAAACUCCAUCACACAUCCCCCCUGUGGAUUUUCCAUAUUCACUCCUCAGCAAGCGGGACUGCACUGCCAUCCAUCAGUUCUCAGAGGUGCAGAGAGGGUCCUCUCUUCUUGGAAAUUCUUAACCAAAGCCAUCCACUGUCUUUUUCAGCAGUGCCAUGGCUUGACUACACAGAGGCUUGGGACUAUAUUUUAACCUGAGAAGGUUUCUUCAGGAAGUUUGCAGAACCUGGGCUCACCAGACUUGCCCAGCUAAAUACGGGACACUCCCUUUUCCCAAAACUUUCCUCAUAUUCACAGAAACAGAAAACAAAUCAAGGAAAGUACCUGGAAGCAGGCUAAUGUCACAAAGCUCCUAAAUCAGCCCCAAAGUCAUGGAUACACCAUCUGAAACAACCUCUAACUGCAAUUUCAAUGCAGCUUUGGGCCGCAGGAAACUAGUGCUCUUGGCCAUCAGCUUCUUUAAGAAUACAAAGAAAUUAUAACCUCCAUCUUCUUUAAUGUUGGUCUUCAAAUUUCUUAAAUGUUCUUUUUUUUUUUUUUUUUGCUAAGUUAGAGACAAAGUCACACUACUGUGGAGGAGGAGCACCUCUGCUGUGUCUGUUGUUUGAGACAACAAGCCAGAGACUGUCAUAUUUUGCAGAAUCCUUUGCAAGUAGGUCCUCAUUCACGGUACUCACUUGACUUUGCUUUCUUGGCUUCAGGGGAGCACUCUGGUUUCUUCACAGCUGUGAUCAGCCCUAUUAAAAAGAAACACCAGCCUGCUCCAUCUGCAAUUCAACAGAGCAAGAAAGGGAUCGACCAAGUAAAUUCAUUCUCUGUUGAAUGUCUCAUUGAGUGGAGAUGCCCAAGGUCAGGCUGGACGGGGCUCUGAGCACUCGAUGGAGCUGUGAGUGACUCUGUUCAUUGCAGAAGAGUUGGGCCAGAUGGCCGUUUGCGUUCCCUUCCAACUGAAACAGUUCUAUGUUUCUGUGAUUUUCAUGUAGAAACAAAGCCACAGGUAAAGAGGAGCAAGGGUUGGAGAGGACUGCGCUAAGAUAUCGCAAACUGAAGGAAAUAAAGGUUAAUGAUACCAUCCCACCUGGAAGUAAAGGAUGCUUUGAGGUUUGUCUGAGGAUGUCUGAAUGAGACCAUGACUUGGGAGUGGCUGAUUGCAGCCCUUCAGAGCUGUAAUAGUUGCAGUGCAAUCUUUAGAGCUGAUAGCAGCAACUAAUUGCUUCUGUUUUCUGACUUUCCAGAGGGCAGAGUGACUCUGAAUUAAUGCAUGGUGUCUUCUGUCUGAUUUCCUAAACUGUUGUAAAAGUAAAUAUCUUAUAGUAAACAUCACUUCAAUCAAAAUCUGGAUAGUCCUGACUAGACUUGGAAGGUUACAACCCACUACAGAAGACACUGAGAGAAGGAAGGCCUUACCACUUCUUUUCUUUAGUGGUUGUAAAUGAUUUGUGAGAAAAAGGAAUGAAAGAUCGUCCAUUGUGUUGUUAGUUUAAUGGUGAUUUUCUGCCUCAUAAUAAAAGCAUCAACAAGAUUUUACAUCGGUAGACAGUUUUGCAGCUUCCAGAAUUUUUUUGGAUGGAAUUGUUGGGCCUGUGUGAUUAGGGAGAAGUCUCUUGUGAAAUCCAUUGGGAAUUAAGGUAUCUUACCUAUUUUUCACACAAAACCCCAGUGUGAGAUCCAUGAGCUGAGUCUGAGCAGUGCCAGAGCCAAUCCUCCAUCUCACCUCCUGGAGGAAAGCCCUGACCAACAGGUGAU
Molecule: long non-coding RNA, 5748 nt
Filed under: Gallus gallus (chicken)
Lineage: Eukaryota; Metazoa; Chordata; Aves; Galliformes; Phasianidae
Description: lncRNA (ENSGALG00010011624.1)
Source: RNAcentral